AUGUACCUAAUGUUCGACCCAACCAUGUCGCUGCACUACCAUGUCCUCUUCUUCCCUGAUGCUCCCGACAGGCCAAAGCCACCAUAUUUUCAACCUGCGGGUGUGUCACAGUUUAUAAGAGCAAAUUACGAGCAUGAGUGUAACACCUUGGGCGUAAUGGAAUGGCCACCGUACAUGUACCCGCUGCAAGUUUUCUCGUCGAAAACCGGCCGGUGGGAGGAGAAACAAUUUGUUCGUCAAGGUGAUGCGGCGGUUACCGUGUCGGAUGUGUGGUCAGAUGGAUCUUCACCAAUUAGCUGCCAAGAUGGGCUUCGACGCCAUGCAGUGUACUGGCGGGCAUCCUUCUAUGUAUAUUGUGACACCGGUUUCAUUAUGAGGUUGUCACUUGAAGACCAAAAAUAUCUAGCGAUCAAAACCCCAAGACUAGAUAUAACAUGGUGCAAGAGACAUCUUAAGACGUACGAGUAUCUCGGAAAAUCCAAGCAUGGUGUCUACUUCACCGCUUUCCAUGGGUACCAACUUAAGGUGUGGGUACUGAGCAACACAUUAGAAUCAUGUCGAACUCCUGAGUGGGAGCUGAAGCAUCAAGCGGACCUUGAGCCUAAUUUAAAGCUACACUAUAACAGACACUUCAGAAGAGAAAAGUAUGAAAAGUGUUGGAUCUUAGAUUCUUGUGAUGAAGAGUCCGAGAGUGAUGAAGAGUUCGAGAAUAGUGGAGACUAUGCAUGGGAUUCUAGUGAUGAUAGCGUCAUUGAUGUUGAAUGA
RNAcentral lists this ribosomal RNA (765 nucleotides) under Triticum aestivum (bread wheat). Its description in RNAcentral is "partial small subunit ribosomal RNA". The record is from RNAcentral. Lineage: Eukaryota; Viridiplantae; Streptophyta; Magnoliopsida; Poales; Poaceae.